Molecule: ribosomal RNA, 309 nt
Filed under: uncultured bacterium
Lineage: Bacteria
Description: partial 16S ribosomal RNA
Rfam family: Bacterial small subunit ribosomal RNA
Source: RNAcentral
AGAGACAGCAGCAGCCACGGGAAUACGAAGGGGGCUAGCGUUGUUCGGAUUUACUGGGCGUAAAGCGCACGUAGGCGGAUCGAUCAGUCAGGGGUGAAAUCCCCGGGCUCAACCUGGGAAUGGCAAUGGAUACUGGCAAGCUAGAGUGUGUCAGAGGAUGGUGGAAUUCCCGGUGUAGCGGUGAAAUGCGUAGAGAUCGGGAGGAACAUCAGUGGCGAAGGCGGCCAUCUGGGACAACACUGACGCUGAGGCACGAAAGCGUGGGGAGCAAACAGGAUUAGAUACCCCAGUAGUCCCUGUCUCUUAUAC